RNAcentral lists this transfer RNA (73 nucleotides) under Araneus ventricosus. RNAcentral's name for it is "tRNA-Thr". The record is from RNAcentral. Lineage: Eukaryota; Metazoa; Arthropoda; Arachnida; Araneae; Araneidae.
AGCCCCCAGCGAGAUUCGAAUUCGCGACCCCUGGUUUACGAGACCACUCCUCUACCCUCUGAGCUAUGGUGGC